RNAcentral lists this ribosomal RNA (163 nucleotides) under Nannochloropsis oceanica. Its description in RNAcentral is "5.8S ribosomal RNA". It matches the Rfam family "5.8S ribosomal RNA". Rfam says of the family: 5.8S ribosomal RNA (5.8S rRNA) is a component of the large subunit of the eukaryotic ribosome. It is transcribed by RNA polymerase I as part of the 45S precursor that also contains 18S and 28S rRNA. Functionally, it is thought that 5.8S rRNA may be involved in ribosome translocation. The record is from RNAcentral. Lineage: Eukaryota; Eustigmatophyceae; Eustigmatales; Monodopsidaceae.
AACACAACUUUCAGCAACGGAUGUCUUGGCUCCCACAACGAUGAAGAACGCAGCGAAAUGCGAUACGUAAUGCGAAUUGCAGAAUUCCGCGAGUCAUCAAACCUUUGAACGCACCUUGCGCUUUCGGGAUAUGCCCGUUAGCAUGUUUGUUGGAGUGUCUGUU